AUAUAGCCCUCGCACACUCCGUUUCCGAUGUGCCGUCCACGCUCACCUGGCCGCUGCUCGCGACGUUGUGUCAGCC
This 76-nucleotide small RNA is filed under the name Xanthomonas phaseoli pv. dieffenbachiae. RNAcentral's name for it is "sX9 sRNA". It matches the Rfam family "Xanthomonas sRNA sX9". Lineage: Bacteria; Pseudomonadati; Pseudomonadota; Gammaproteobacteria; Lysobacterales; Lysobacteraceae. RNAcentral also lists the same sequence under 1 other name. The record is from RNAcentral.